This 460-nucleotide ribosomal RNA is filed under the name uncultured bacterium. RNAcentral describes it as "partial 16S ribosomal RNA". It matches the Rfam family "Bacterial small subunit ribosomal RNA", at positions 338 to 795 of the family's 1533-position model. The record is from RNAcentral.
CCUACGGGAGACAGCAGUGAGGAAUAUUGGUCAAUGGUCGGGAGACUGAACCAGCCAAGCCGCGUGAGGGAUGAAGGUACAGAGUAUCGUAAACCUCUUUUGUCAGGGAACAAAGGCGGGGACGUGUCCCCGGAUGAGUGUAUCCGAAGAAAAAGCAUCGGCCAACUCCGGGCCAGCAGCCGCGGUAAUACGGAGGAUGCGAGCGUUAUCCGGAUUUAUUGGGUUUAAAGGGUGUGCAGGCGGUUCGUUAAGACAGCGGUGAAAGGCCGGGGGUCAACCCCGGGCCGGCAGUUGAAACUGGCAGUCUCGAGUUGAAGGGAGGUAUGCGGAAUGCGCGGUGUAGCGGUGAAAUGCAUAGAUAUCGCGCAGAACUCCGAUUGCGAAGGCAGCAGGCCGGCUCCACACUGACGCUGAGGCACGAAAGCGUGGGUAUCGAACAGGAUUAGAUACCCCUGUAGUC